RNAcentral lists this ribosomal RNA (240 nucleotides) under uncultured bacterium. RNAcentral describes it as "partial 16S ribosomal RNA". It matches the Rfam family "Bacterial small subunit ribosomal RNA", at positions 94 to 334 of the family's 1533-position model. The record is from RNAcentral.
AGCGGCGGACGGGUGAGUAACGCGUGGGUAACCUGCCUCAUACAGGGGGAUAACAGUUGGAAACGGCUGCUAAUACCGCAUAAGCGCACAGUACCGCAUGGUACGGUGUGAAAAACUCCGGUGGUAUGAGAUGGACCCGCGUCUGAUUAGGUAGUUGAUGGGGUAACGGCCUACCAAGCCGACGAUCAGUAGCCGACCUGAGAGGGUGACCGGCCACAUUGGGACUGAGACACGGCCCAA